CUAGAAGUCCGGGCUCUCUACCAAGACAUCGCGAGUUCGGGAGCCUCUGACCAGGACUAUUACCACAAAACCCACGCGGCUGGCGGAAAGCGGCAGGGAGGUGAUUCAAGCCAGUUCCAAUGGACUUGUGAUGGAGAGAGCUAUCAGCACCAAGAGGGAGACUGUGGGGACUGAGUGUGGAUUACAACACAGUAUUUUUUACCUUUUUUAUUGUUGUUUGCUUGUAUUUUGUUUUCUUUCUGAUCUGAUUUUUCUUGUGCAGCAUGAUAAUUGUGGAAAUUUGUAUAGAAGAAUUGCACAUGUUUAACAUAUUGUAUUACUUGCCAUCUAGGGAAAGGGGUGGAGGGAAGAAAAGGAAAAAAAUUUGGAACACAAGAUUUUGCAAUAGUGAAUGUUGAAAAUUACUUAAGCAUAUGUUUUGAAAAUAAAACUUUAAUUAAAGGGG
Long non-coding RNA from Antechinus flavipes (yellow-footed antechinus), 445 nucleotides. RefSeq lists it as uncharacterized. The record is from RefSeq and is a predicted model, not a curated record. The transcript has 2 exons. Lineage: Eukaryota; Metazoa; Chordata; Mammalia; Dasyuromorphia; Dasyuridae.